UGGGGAAUAUUGCACAAUGGGCGCAAGCCUGAUGCAGCCAUGCCGCGUGUGUGAAGAAGGCCUUCGGGUUGUAAAGCACUUUCAGCGGGGAGGAAGGCGAUAAGGUUAAUAACCUCAUCGAUUGACGUCACCCGCAGAAGAAGCACCGGCUAACUCCGUGCCAGCAGCCGCGGUAAUACGGAGGGUGCAAGCGUUAAUCGGAAUUACUGGGCGUAAAGCGCACGCAGGCGGUCUGUCAAGUCGGAUGUGAAAUCCCCGGGCUCAACCUGGGAACUGCAUUCGAAACUGGCAGGCUAGAGUCUUGUAGAGGGGGGUAGAAUUCCAGGUGUAGCGGUGAAAUGCGUAGAGAUCUGGAGGAAUACCGGUGGCGAAGGCGGCCCCCUGGACAAAGACUGACGCUCAGGUGCGAAAGCGUGGGGAGCAAACAGG
This 429-nucleotide ribosomal RNA is filed under the name Chloroflexota bacterium. Its description in RNAcentral is "Chloroflexi bacterium partial 16S ribosomal RNA". It matches the Rfam family "Bacterial small subunit ribosomal RNA", at positions 355 to 776 of the family's 1533-position model. The record is from RNAcentral. Lineage: Bacteria; Bacillati; Chloroflexota.